This 278-nucleotide ribosomal RNA is filed under the name Planctomycetota bacterium. RNAcentral describes it as "Planctomycetes bacterium (anaerobic digester metagenome) partial 16S ribosomal RNA". It matches the Rfam family "Bacterial small subunit ribosomal RNA", at positions 1 to 273 of the family's 1533-position model. The record is from RNAcentral. Lineage: Bacteria; Pseudomonadati; Planctomycetota.
CAAAUUGAAGAGUUUGAUCCUGGCUCAGAACGAACGCUGGCGGCGUGGCUAAGACAUGCAAGUCGAACGGACGAUUGAAUUGGGUAACCGAGACAAUCGUUAGUGGCGAAAGGGUGAGGAAUGGAUAGGUAACGUACCUUUGGCUUCGGAAUAGCGUCCCGAAAGGGGCGGUAAUACCGGAUGAUAUCACAGAGUGCAGGCUUUGUGAUCAAAGAUUUAUCGGCCAAAGAGCGGCCUAUUGCCUAUCAGCUUGUUGGUGAGGUAAUGGCUCACCAAGG